GGGGGAGAGACUGCUGGAGGCUCCCAGGGAGGAGAUUCAGGCUGCCUGGAUGUCAGCCCAGCAGGGUGGACGGGAGACAAAACCCAGGCUGACCAUUGACUUAAGAUUACUGGCCUCCAGUUGCUCUACCAGGGGCUUCUGCAAAGAAAUGGGACCCAGCUGGAGUUCAGCGUUUAGUGGCUGAGGUGAUGUUGCCCUGGGAUUCAAGGAGACCCAUCUUCCUCCUGCAAUGCACCAACAACAGUUCGAGUACGGCGCUCACAUCCUCCUGCCCCCUUGGGGGUUGCUGUGGGAACACCCUGAAAUGCGGAUCCUGGAUGCCAUUUUUGGGAAAAAGGCUGAGGAUCAUUCGGAAGGAACCUGACAAUCAAACUGCAGGACCCAGUGAUGUCACACAGCAGAAGGCAGCCUGCUGCACAGAGCAGGUCGGAGGCCACGGGGGCUGCUGCUCUUCCUCCUGAGCGAGUUCAGGCCGUGUUGCUGUGAGGACCUCAGAGAAGGGGCCUGGGGUCUGUUUAUGGGUGAAGCACCCCCCUAAGGAGAAGGGAACCACUGUGGGCAGACCCUCCCCAUAAGGUGUCUUUCUGUUGUCCGGCCUGCGGAGUCCCCUUGCUGAUCUGCUCUGCCUUGAAGGGCACAGAGGUUGCUGCUGCUGCCGCC
Molecule: long non-coding RNA, 660 nt
Filed under: Naja naja (Indian cobra)
Lineage: Eukaryota; Metazoa; Chordata; Lepidosauria; Squamata; Elapidae
Description: lncRNA (ENSNNAG00000009507.1)
Source: RNAcentral